AAAGUCGUAACAAGGUUUCCGUAGGUGAACCUGCGGAAGGAUCAUUAGUAAUGUUGUGGGGGGGCUGCUGCCAGUGUCGCAAGACUUGGCGGUUGGCUCUCUUGUUGAUCUGUGAACUGGGUUUUGGUUGUGCGGCCUGCCUCCUUUCGGGGGGGCGGGUCGUGCGCGCCGAGCCUGAUUGUUUUCUGCUUUUAUUUUUUACUAUUUUCUUAGUUGAAAAACUAGAAAUCCAAGACAACUUUCAGCAAUGGAUCUCUUGGCUCUU
RNAcentral lists this unclassified non-coding RNA (265 nucleotides) under Basidiomycota sp. Its description in RNAcentral is "partial contains small subunit ribosomal RNA, internal transcribed spacer 1, and 5.8S ribosomal RNA". The stretch from base 1 to 47 matches the Rfam family "Eukaryotic small subunit ribosomal RNA", at positions 1785 to 1831 of the family's 1831-position model. Lineage: Eukaryota; Fungi; Basidiomycota. The record is from RNAcentral.